GAAGUAGCCGGGCUAGCAUCAGUAAUAUCUAAUAUUUUUAAAUGACAACUUUACCUCUUUACGUUCCAGCUCCGAAACAUUUCGGGCACCUGGGUUAUUUUUUCUUAAGUAGUUGGCUACAGAACAAGCUCAAUGUCUACUCCUUAUUAAUGGAUACAAUAGUUGGGACUGCUAAGUUUUUGAUUGAAGGAGCCUAAAGGCUUCAAAAUUUAUGUUUGGCUACUGGCGUUAAGUAUCGCCUCUUUCCAGUACAAAACGAAGUGUGUUUAGGCCUGGCGUGACUAAGAAGUCUGAGAUCUGCGAUUCAAGCCUCUAGCAUAUAUAUAUGAGAAAAUAAUGGUAGCGAAAUAUAGCUGAAGGUACUGAGCGCUGUAAUAGUGAAGCAAGCUCCGUUUCAUCUAGUCGUUAUUGCUUGCGCCAACUCCCGUGAACUGCUGGGUGACGAUGAUCCGUGGAGGCUACGUACGUAAUGCAUUCGCACAGCCCGCUUCUGAAUAUCGUCAAACUACGUCAGCCUGCGCCGCGCCUUCUUAGUAGGUUAACUGUCGUGAAAGCCGCCCCAACUUCUUGCGAUUAAAAAGUUCAGCUGUUAUGGCCAUACAGCGUGAGCAGGCUAUAAGGCUAACAUACGUCAGUCACAGAUCCGAUAGGCGUGGAGGUUUACUGGCCUAUAUGGAAAAACACACGGCGUUUUAUCAGUAUCGCCGUUUGUGCGUAUUAUUCAUGACGCCUAUAUUGCGUAAAGAGAAAAUACGGACUUAGCCGGGCCAAAUUGGGGCUUAGUCGGGCUCCUGUUAUGGGUUAAGUAAGUGAUGGUAUCGCCUAUAGCGACACGACCCACUGUCCCACCCAAAGCCCUAGUUGACGCGCCGUUUGGGCAGCUACUGCUACUGUCUCUACGGUUGCUGUGGCUUCUUAGGGGCAAUGGCUACUGAGACGAAAGGAAAAUGACCGCACUGAUACUGCUGCCUAACUUAGAUGAUUCGGCCUCGUGAUGUAGACCCAACUCGGGAAAGGAAGUAAGGAAACAACAACAACAACAGCAGCAGCAGCGGCGUUACUUUUUUCGUGUACCGUUGCCCAUAGUGUCUGCGCUUGUGACUAUAUGUAUAUGCGUGCGUGUGUUGUCUGUGUACGCGCGGCUUCGCUAUAAGAUUUUCCGCUUGGAAGGCCCCGACUAAAUUGCUUUUUAUGUAUUAGCAUAUAGCGAACGACGCCCCUACCAUUGCCCUGCUUGCCGUCACUGCCGCCAACGACGGCUGUGGUAUGGCGGCGGCCACUGUCAUACUGUGUCGUCGCUGGAUCCCUCGAUGUAGGCAAGAAAGCAAGCAAACUCGCUCACAAUUCCCUACUUUAUUCCCCUGCACCAGUGCUCAUCGCUUGAGCCCUCCUCCUUCAUGACUUGACGCACGGUACGAAAUCCCCUGUAGUGAGCCCGAAGAGCCGCUUAGCCGCUUUUCUAUAGAAAGCCAGUACAAGCAGAAGUGGUGCUAACAUUUUGUAGCAAUAUCAGAAAAGAGCAAGACCAAUAGCUACCAUGGCUUUUUCCUUCCGACGACAGCCACAACAACAAUUGCUGCUGCUGUUCCUAUCAGCUGCUUGCGAUUUUGCUUUUUUAUAGAUGGUCUAUUUGAACACAUUUAUGUGAAUAGCGUCGAGCAAAAGACCACUGGGCACCAGCCGAUUAUAACGGCAGUCGAAACGGUCAGAAAUGACUCGUAGAUUGAUAGUGUGAUAGGAAGACAACAUUACUAGAAUUUACGUUUGUCACUUGCCCUGUCCCUAACAAUAGUUUGUCUGAUGCCACAGGAGAGGGCUAGGUGGCAAACAAAACCAUCCCAAUUCUUCUAAUUCGUCUUUCCAACCGGUCCUCAACCCAUGCAUCUAAGAUAGUUGGACAAAUAUUGCAGUUUUUGCGUUAUUCUCCUAUCCCGGAAGGUAUCUAUCGCAAAAGUUUCCACAAUGUUUUCUAUAACAAAAGGCUUUCUCCGCCUCGAGUUCGCCUUGACUGCUCUUUGCGGCAAACGGUAUUUAACGUCGAGUACAGUCGCUCCGAUUCGAGCGGGAUAUGCAAAGUUUCAACAUGACCUAGUGUCACGUUGAAACAUAGCGAACCGAUGUCAAGCUAUAGUUAGCCACGUUAUCAGUACUAAAUUACUUUUCAAUUAUGUAAAUCGUAUCGUUCGAAUUGACGUAAUUUCGGCAAAGAGCAAGUAAAAAAAAACGUAGAAUAUACACCUGGAAUAUCCAUCCCUGUAACCUGAACUAGUGGUAAUAUUUCGUUCACCGUAUAAUUUGCAACACGUCGAAAGCGAAAAAAGAAAGCCGCUUAAACGCUAUAUACUGCUAUCUGUGUGCUACUGCUACUUAGUCAGUUGGAGAUGAUGGCCGCGGAAAGACUACGUUCAGUCGCUUGAUAAGUACGGAACUGAUUUUAAUACCCCCUAUCAAGAGUAAAUUUUCAAAAUACGUAACUAAGUAAAGGAGGUGGGAAGAGCCAGCGAACAAAGUGUUUGCCCCAAAAAAGUAGCUAAAUAAUCUUUGCUGGAACGUAAGUGCUUUAUAAAUGACACAGUGUUCCUUCCGCGAACAUGGUUUUUUUUUUACCAUUUUCUUUGUCAAAUAUAGAUUGUCUUACGACGCGCAUCUAGACUGAGGAACAUAGAACGCUAAAUUUUAUGAUUUACAAAUAGGUCGACGUAUGCUUGCGCAGUACCUUUUAAUGUGAGCAAUAACACCUCGUCAUAAAUUUUUUGUCGACAUAUCGUUCGUGACAAGUGUUAUAUAUGGCUGUCCAGGCCAUACAUGGUUGUCGAUUAGAUAAUUUAUACCAACAAUAUUAUGUGUACCGUAAGUAAAGUACGCCUCCGAAGACAGAAACUCGUUACCGAACAUCUAACUCGACCCUGUGCGCUGCUAUAUCUAAGCCACUGUUUGAAAUCUCAGAUUAACUUAAGGCACUUCCUUGACCGACCGCUAAUAAUCAGCGUCGCCAUCGUUCUGAAACGAAUUCCUUAUUUUUCUUCACGUAAAAACGUAUGGCCUUUCUAAUUAUACCUCACUUUUGCAAAGCUACUGUUGCUUCUCCUUUUCCACAUCUAACGUUUAGCUGUGAAACAAGAUUCUAUAAUCUUGUUUCACAGCUAAACGUUAAAGACUUUCCUCACCUGAAGAGAAAGACGGUCCCGUCACAGGAGA
RNAcentral lists this long non-coding RNA (3198 nucleotides) under Varroa destructor (honeybee mite). RNAcentral describes it as "uncharacterized LOC111244208". The record is from RNAcentral. Lineage: Eukaryota; Metazoa; Arthropoda; Arachnida; Mesostigmata; Varroidae.